AGGAAUUUUUUCUUAAUAACUCUGCCUCCCAUGUGAAAAAAGACCGAUACAUUUUAUUAAAGAGUUAACAUAUAGAUACACAUCUGGAUUUUAAAAAAAAAUCUAAGAAAUUACAUUGAAAAGGCCUUCCAAAGCAAGUUAAACAAAAAGAAAAAAAAAUUGACAGAGGGGUUCAAAAAAAAAACUACAAUUACACACUUGGGUUGGGUUUUAACUCUUAAACCUCUCGAGUGUAAAGAUCUCACUCUCACGUUGAGUUUUCAUUGAUUCGGUAGCUCAAGCUCAGCUGAGUUGAGUUUUCAUUGAUUCGGUAGCUCAAGCUCAGCUGAGUUGAGUCAUUGUUGUGAAUCACCAGCGGCGAGCUGCCACGCCGAGGUGGCAAUUAGUG
Molecule: long non-coding RNA, 388 nt
Filed under: Populus trichocarpa (black cottonwood)
Lineage: Eukaryota; Viridiplantae; Streptophyta; Magnoliopsida; Malpighiales; Salicaceae
Description: long non-coding RNA (PTRI_LNC001187)
Source: RNAcentral